UAUAUUUUAGUGUAAGAUGCACAAAGAGUUUUGAUCUCUUUAGUUAUAGUUUAAUCCUAUAAAGUAUAA
This 69-nucleotide transfer RNA is filed under the name Hospesneotomae barberi. RNAcentral describes it as "Triatoma barberi tRNA-Gln". Lineage: Eukaryota; Metazoa; Arthropoda; Insecta; Hemiptera; Reduviidae. The record is from RNAcentral.